RNAcentral lists this microRNA precursor (70 nucleotides) under Chlorocebus sabaeus (green monkey). Its description in RNAcentral is "miRNA (ENSCSAG00000024951.1)". The record is from RNAcentral. Lineage: Eukaryota; Metazoa; Chordata; Mammalia; Primates; Cercopithecidae.
GGGGCUGUGCCGGUCCCUGGAGAACCUGCAGAGGCACUGGGUCAGCAGUCCCCUGCGGGCCCACACUCAC